AGUGUCCAUGCUACAUUAAGCUGACAGAGAAGGUGCAAAUUGUUAUUAAGUAUCCAUUGUUUGGUUUUUUGUGUCAUCAGAAUGUGGAAUGUAAUGGUCCUCUAUUGUGAGGCCAAAGGUGGUUGAGAAGGAAAUGAAGGGUUUUCCCUUGUACAGUGCUAGAUAGACUCCAGGCAGAUCAUGAGGGAGGGAGAGCACAUGGUGGGACCAAUGGAUACUGCUAGCAAAAGUCACAGAUUAGAGGCGCAGGGGAGCAUAUACACCUACAGUAGAGUACCCAUACGGACACUUCUCAAAAGAACUAACCAGAAGAUACACAGAAAAUGACUACAGACUAAACCAUGUAACCCCAUUUCUCUCUUGAAGCCCUCGAGUGCACUGCAUGGGAGAAGGCAAAGGCAUGUCUGAAGGCAAAGAGUCAGAGCUGGAAUUCAGAGAACAAGCUUGUAUUCGAGGAUCUCCUAUUUUACACAAGACUCUAAUGAAAUAUCCAAACAAAUACUAAAUUGGGCUGUCUCCGAGUCAUGUAAAGUGUUGUGCUGCCGAA
This is a non-coding RNA of Pelodiscus sinensis (Chinese soft-shelled turtle), 547 nucleotides long. Lineage: Eukaryota; Metazoa; Chordata; Testudines; Trionychidae. The record is from RefSeq and is a predicted model, not a curated record.